CCUACGGGAGGCAGCAGUGAGGAAUAUUGGUCAAUGGGCGCGAGCCUGAACCAGCCAAGUCGCGUGAGGGAAGACGGUCCUAUGGAUUGUAAACCUCUUUUGUCGGGGAGCAAAAGACGCCACGCGUGGCGUUCCGAGAGUACCCGAAGAAAAAGCAUCGGCUAACUCCGUGCCAGCAGCCGCGGUAAUACGGAGGAUGCGAGCGUUAUCCGGAUUUAUUGGGUUUAAAGGGUGCGCAGGCGGAGGUGCAAGUCAGCGGUCAAAUUGCGGGGCUCAACCCCGUACUGCCGUUGAAACUGCAUCCCUUGAGUGCGCGAGAAGUAUGCGGAAUGCGUGGUGUAGCGGUGAAAUGCAUAGAUAUCACGCAGAACUCCGAUUGCGAAGGCAGCAUACCGGCGCGCAACUGACGCUCAUGCACGAAAGCGUGGGUAUCGAACAGGAUUAGAUACCCCAGUAGUC
This 459-nucleotide ribosomal RNA is filed under the name uncultured bacterium. RNAcentral's name for it is "partial 16S ribosomal RNA". It matches the Rfam family "Bacterial small subunit ribosomal RNA", at positions 338 to 795 of the family's 1533-position model. The record is from RNAcentral.